GAAGCUUGCUUCUAAAUGACCUAGCGGCGGACGGGUGAGUAACACGUAGGCAACCUGCCCACAAGACAGGGAUAACUACCGGAAACGGUAGCUAAUACCCGAUACAUCCUUUUCCUGCAUGGGAGAAGGAGGAAAGACGGAGCAAUCUGUCACUUGUGGAUGGGCCUGCGGCGCAUUAGCUAGUUGGUGGGGUAAAGGCCUACCAAGGCGACGAUGCGUAGCCGACCUGAGAGGGUGAUCGGCCACACUGGGACUGAGACACGGCCCAGACUCCUACGGGAGGCAGCAGUAGGGAAUCUUCCGCAAUGGGCGAAAGCCUGACGGAGCAACGCCGCGUGAGUGAUGAAGGUUUUCGGAUCGUAAAGCUCUGUUGCCAGGGAAGAACGCUUGGGAGAGUAACUGCUCUCAAGGUGACGGUACCUGAGAAGAAAGCCCCGGCUAACUACGUGCCAGCAGCCGCGGUAAUACGUAGGGGGCAAGCGUUGUCCGGAAUUAUUGGGCGUAAAGCGCGCGCAGGCGGCUCUUUAAGUCUGGUGUUUAAUCCCGAGGCUCAACUUCGGGUCGCACUGGAAACUGGAGAGCUUGAGUGCAAAAGAGGAGA
RNAcentral lists this ribosomal RNA (601 nucleotides) under Paenibacillus sp. RNAcentral describes it as "bacterial SSU rRNA". It matches the Rfam family "Bacterial small subunit ribosomal RNA", at positions 75 to 660 of the family's 1533-position model. Lineage: Bacteria; Bacillati; Bacillota; Bacilli; Caryophanales; Paenibacillaceae. The record is from RNAcentral.